Long non-coding RNA from Lutra lutra (Eurasian river otter), 3672 nucleotides. RefSeq lists it as uncharacterized. The transcript has 4 exons. The record is from RefSeq and is a predicted model, not a curated record. Lineage: Eukaryota; Metazoa; Chordata; Mammalia; Carnivora; Mustelidae.
ACUCAUCGCGGUCAUAGCCCCCCACCAAGAUGACUUCUUUCUGAGCUCCUUGCUUGUGUUGGCAACAUGCACUCAUUUAACUUUAAAAAUAAGUAAGAUACUCGUUAGAAAUCUGGACGGAACAGUCAGAAAACCUGCCGCUCUCCAGCCAGAUCACAUCUUCCACCCACCUGCUGUUUUAUGGGAUUCACGGGUCUGCAGGCCUUUCUUGUAACCUUUGGAAUUAGGUUUUUAUUUCUCCAAAAGUCCUGAAGGCUGGGGGUCCUAGAUCAAGGUGCGUUGUGGCUGCGAGCUCUCCCAGCUGCAGACAGCCGCCCUCUGCCGCGUGCUCACACGGAGGAGAGAGGAAGCCAGCUCUUGGGGUGUCUCUUCCCUGGUUUCCACACCGGCAGAUGUGCUCCACCAAAUCCCAGCUCUGCUCCUGCUGUCGUGGAUGGCCCCAAAGAAGAAGAAAGUGUCCCCCAUGAGGGCCUUCUCGACUCGGGGAGGGUCUGUCCCGGUCUGGAUUCAGGGCCCAGGAGCGUAGGCUGCCCGGUCUGUGCACCCUAAAUUAAAUCCUGCUCUUGGAUGCCACCACGAUUCAGGGUGGAGAGACCCCUGCCUCAGUGGAAUCCUUCCAGCACUGAGGACGUAGGAAGGUGCUAGAGGAGACUUUGUCUUGAAUGUCCACAAGGUCUCCUCCCGCCCCCCACCCCGAGCCUGGGCGAUCGAGCGGCCAGCCCUAUCCUGGGGAAGAGAGGCAUGGAGGGUGGCAGCUGGCAGCUGGCCUCAGCCUCCGAUUGUCCCCUGAGCCUGACCUGAGCAGCUGACAAGGGGUCACCCUGUUAUUUCUGCUGAGUUUGGCCCAAUUUCUAACAAGAAAAGUUCCACCAGAGCGUGUGCUGCACUUGGGGUGAGGGCUGUGUCCUGGUGGUGACAUCUGGGUCCUGAGUAGGAAGGGGACUGCGGGGCGGGGGAAGGGACUCUGCUUCCCCUCUCUGCUCUGCGCAUUCUCUGGACAAGCCUCGCGCUGCAGACGAUCCUGGGCUUCUAAUCAUGUUCCUGUUCUGACGUUGAUGUUUGCCGUCCUCACCCUAAGGGAGAAAGAGUCUCUGUCCCUGCGUGGCGACAGGCUUUUUCCAGGUCUGGUGGUGACCGGGGGGCCCUGCGUGGAGUUGGGGGGGCGCUCCAUCACCCCUGGGCCUGGCCGCGGGGCCCCUCACCCAGCGGCCACCAGCUCCAGGGUCUGCCCCUGAAAUCCCUUCACUCCUGCUGUUGCCUUUGGGACCUUCCCUCCCAGGGCCCAGCCUUGAUGUCAGAGGGCAUCAGGAUUGCGGUCAGCCUCCCCAAUUCUCAUGCUUCUCAGACUGGGGCAGGGGUCAGAAUGCCCUGAAGAGUGUUAUGAUCCCGAAGUCCCUUCAGGAGCUUGGGGCACAGACGCCUCCUUGAGAAGUGCUGUCCUCUGCGAAUGAACCCCUUUCCGUGUUAGGGCCGGAGACUCUUGGGACAUUUGUCCCCCCAGCCCGUGUCCCAUGGAACCCAGACGUUAUGGUCCAUACAAAGGGUCGGUGGCCACAUACAUUUAAUACCUGUGACAUGCCAAAACCUCUCUCUCCCAGAAAGCCGAGAAAUGCUGCGAUGAAGUAAAAGCUUUGUGAAAUCCUGUAGGACCGCUCCAGGUUUCUUCCCACCCAGCAUGCCCAAACCCGUCUGAAAAUGGAGCAGGUCUGUGGUUACCAUCCCUCCUGCCCUGGGCUGCGGUUCCAUCGGGUUCAGUCUGAGAAACUGCCCCGGGACACGGGCGCAGUCUGAUGGCGGCCGCAUCCCUCUGUUCACGCGCUCCCAUGAGCCUCUUGGCUAUGGCUCAUCUAACACCCGUGUGUCUCCCAAACUCCUCCCCACCCCUCCCAGGCCGCGUCCUUGGCUUUGGGGAGCUCCUGCAGGGGCUGCAUGAAGAGGGGGCAGUGAUGACCAUCGGAGGCAGGAGGCACUCAGUGGCCUGUCUGCUCCCGCUGGAUGCUGGGCUUCCAGGAGUCAGAGUCCACACGCACGGCCUUGCAUACAGUAGGUGCUCAACUAGUGAUUGCGGCCAGGCUGAGACUGGGCUGCCUGACAGCCCUUCUUCCCCCUGAACACGGGGGAACUGGCCUUCGGAGACUGACUGAUCAUCCCUUAGGAAAUGCUCGCUGACCUCCAGACUUCGGCCAUGGCAGGGAGGACCCCGUCCUGGAAGGGGGAUCCUCUGAGCUGACUGCCCUGGGUGGCACUGGCUUCUGAGGACUGGAGAAGGUAGUGGCCACGCUGUGGACAGUCACACCGUCUCCGAGACUGUUCUUGUUGGCUCUGGCAUAUGCUGUUCCCCGCACACCCCCCAAGGCUUCAGGGUCACGGGGUCCCAAAUGGGACUGCGCUCCUAAGGGGACAGUGUUUGCUCAACUACCUGGCAGAUCCGUGUGGACUGGGGUGGCCAGCCUCCUGCUGAGGUGACAUGUGUGUCACAAUAACACACACAGCCAGAGGCAGAAUCACCCCUGGCAGAGAAACAUGGUUGCUCAGGCUGCUGUCAUGUCCCUGGAGGGGACCUGUGGUUAUGGGCCCAGGGCUGUGCCCUGGAGGAGACGUGGUGGGGGGUGCAGCUUGGGUCACUCGAUUUUCCCUUCCUGCAAGAACCCUGGCGGGAUGUCUUUGUGGGUGGCAUGGCCCCCGCAUGGGCCCUGGGGGCUGCUGGCUGUCCAAAGACAGGGGCCCCUCCUCCUGUCCCUGCUGACAUCUUUGCUGGUGACAUGAUGUGUCCUGUGAACACAACCCAGGUUUGUUAGGAAGCUCCCCAUGUAGAGAGUUCGGGGGAAACUUCCACCUGCAUUUCAAGGCUUCCUGGUGACACACAUCUGCAGAGCAUGGAGACGAGGCUUCAUGUGCAGGCGUCUCAAGAUAGUGCGGGAAUUGGGAAAUUUGGGCAAGGUGUGUGUGCAAAUGGCCGUUUGGGCAGGGCCUGAAUGACGUCAGGCCCACCUGCACAGGCUCUGGGCCUCAGUCAAUGCAGGACAGCACGUGGACAAGCCAGGCACCAUCUCAGUCACAGAAGCAAUUGCUGUGUGCAUUUUCAGAGAUAAGCCGAGGUGACCUUCAUCAUGGUGCACACUUCUGACCACGGAUCGGGGAGAAGGUUCACUCCCUCCCCUCAUAGAAUUCAUUCCAUUCACCCACUCACUCCUGGAAACUGUCCUGCACCUGUGGGAGCUGGCCGGGCACAUCAGGCACCCCCCAACAACUUCCUUCCUCUUCUGCCCUGGGUCUGGUCUGUGUCACCCCCUGUCCCGGGCCCACUGAGCAAGGGUCCCUGACUUGCUGUAUGGAGGGAAUUCCUCUCUCCCCUGGAGUGAAGCACUUUCUUCAUCCAGUCCCUUUCUUGGGGGGGCAGGCAGAGGAUGGGGAUGUGACCAAGGGCUUUGUGAGGGAUGAAGGUCGAGCUGUUUGCCCUGGAGAUGGUGGGUUACUGUCAAGACAGGAGGGAGCUCAGGAACCCCCUCCCUUAAUCUGAAAAGAAAAAGCUUCUGCGCAGCCAAGGAGAACAUUAACCAAAUGAAAAAGCAACUUAGUGAAUGGGAGAGGAUAAUUUGCAAAUGAGAUAACCGAUAAGGGGUUACUAUCCGAAAUAAACAAAAUAUACAAAAGAAUGUAUACAAUUCAACA